GUGAAUCAUCGAAUCUUUGAACGCACAUUGCGCCCCUCGGAAUUCCGUGGGGCAUGCCUGUUCGAGCGUCAUUAUCACCAUCAAGCUCUGCUUAGUGUUGGGCGCUUGUCCUGCGGGAAACCGCGCGGACUCGCCCUAAAGAUAUUGGCAGCGGCCUGCCGGGCCUCCUAAUAGCGCAGCACUGUUGGCGCGUCCUGGAGCCUGUGUAGAGCAGCAUCCAGCAAGUCUCCUCAAGAUUGACCUCGGAUCAGGUAGGGAUACCCGCUGAACUUAAGCAUAUCAAUAAGCGGAGGA
This 294-nucleotide unclassified non-coding RNA is filed under the name Stagonospora sp. RNAcentral's name for it is "partial contains 5.8S ribosomal RNA, internal transcribed spacer 2, and large subunit ribosomal RNA". The stretch from base 1 to 71 matches the Rfam family "5.8S ribosomal RNA", at positions 84 to 154 of the family's 154-position model. Lineage: Eukaryota; Fungi; Ascomycota; Dothideomycetes; Pleosporales; Massarinaceae. The record is from RNAcentral.